This 382-nucleotide ribosomal RNA is filed under the name Staphylococcus aureus. Its description in RNAcentral is "partial 23S ribosomal RNA". It matches the Rfam family "Bacterial large subunit ribosomal RNA", at positions 1 to 375 of the family's 2925-position model. The record is from RNAcentral. Lineage: Bacteria; Bacillati; Bacillota; Bacilli; Caryophanales; Staphylococcaceae.
AGAUUAAGUUAUUAAGGGCGCACGGUGGAUGCCUUGGCACUAGAAGCCGAUGAAGGACGUUACUAACGACGAUAUGCUUUGGGGAGCUGUAAGUAAGCUUUGAUCCAGAGAUUUCCGAAUGGGGAAACCCAGCAUGAGUUAUGUCAUGUUAUCGAUAUGUGAAUACAUAGCAUAUCAGAAGGCACACCCGGAGAACUGAAACAUCUUAGUACCCGGAGGAAGAGAAAGAAAAUUCGAUUCCCUUAGUAGCGGCGAGCGAAACGGGAAGAGCCCAAACCAAAAAGCUUGCUUGUUGGGGUUGUAGGACACUCUAUACGGAGUUACAAAGGACGACAUUAGACGAAUCAUCUGGAAAGAUGAAUCAAAGAAGGUAAUAAUCCUG